UACGUAGGGUGCGAGCGUUGUCCGGAAUUAUUGGGCGUAAAGAGCUCGUAGGCGGUUUGUCACGUCUGCUGUGAAAUCCCGAGGCUCAACCUCGGGCCUGCAGUGGGUACGGGCAGACUGGAGUGCGGUAGGGGAGAAUGGAAUUCCUGGUGUAGCGGUGGAAUGCGCAGAUAUCAGGAGGAACACCGAUGGCGAAGGCAGUUCUCUGGGCCGUAACUGACGCUGAGGAGCGAAAGCGUGGGGAGCGAACAGGAUUAGAUACCCUGGUAGUCCACGCCGUAAACGUUGGGCGCUAGAUGUGGGGACCUUUCCACGGUUUCCGUGUCGUAGCUAACGCAUUAAGCGCCCCGCCUGGGGAGUACGGCCGCAAGGCUAAA
RNAcentral lists this ribosomal RNA (377 nucleotides) under uncultured bacterium. Its description in RNAcentral is "bacterial SSU rRNA". It matches the Rfam family "Bacterial small subunit ribosomal RNA", at positions 524 to 898 of the family's 1533-position model. The record is from RNAcentral.